AAUAAAUACAAGAAUGCAGAGGAGAACAUCUUGUACAAUGGGUCUUCUUUAAAACGCACGGAUAAAUGCCGCGCAUUAUGUCAUUAUUUUUACGCAAGAAGCAUACUAAGCAGCAAGGAAACAAAAUUGAUCGGUGGUAGAUUGGAAAAUAUCCUAAUUGCCUUGCAUUGACGCGGCGAUACUGUCGCGCGAGCGGAGAUGUAUGUGGGCAAUCCGAUGCCGGUACCAUUGAGAGCAAAUUCUUUGACGAGGUAAAAAUAUAAAUACAAACACUCGUUUACGUAUUCAACGCGUGAGCACCAGCGAGGGGUGUUUUUUUCGCGAAAAGCGGCGGAUAAUUAAGCGACGAAUGCGAAAGAGGCAGCUGCUAAAUUGCGAGCCCGUGAGUUGCGAAUAUCCUUGAGUUUAUCUUUGAUUUUUGAAAAAUCACGUAUGAAUUAAAGAAUGCUAUAAAUCUAGUCCUCGAAAUUUUGCUACGAUGAAAUACUGUAAAA
This is a long non-coding RNA of Ooceraea biroi (clonal raider ant), 494 nucleotides long. RefSeq lists it as uncharacterized. NCBI's taxonomy places the organism in Eukaryota, Metazoa, Arthropoda, Insecta, Hymenoptera, Formicidae. The record is from RefSeq and is a predicted model, not a curated record.